Molecule: ribosomal RNA, 255 nt
Filed under: uncultured bacterium
Lineage: Bacteria
Description: partial 16S ribosomal RNA
Rfam family: Bacterial small subunit ribosomal RNA
Source: RNAcentral
CGGACGGGUGAGUAACGCGUGGGUAACCUGCCUUACACAGGGGGAUAACACUUAGAAAUAGGUGCUAAUACCGCAUGAGCGCACAGGACCGCAUGGUCGAGUGUGAAAAACUGAGGUGGUGUAAGAUGGACCCGCGUCUGAUUAGCUAGUUGGUGAGGUAACGGCCCACCAAGGCGACGAUCAGUAGCCGGCCUGAGAGGGUGGACGGCCACAUUGGGACUGAGACACGGCCCAGACUCCUACGGGAGGCAGCAG